This 465-nucleotide ribosomal RNA is filed under the name Vreelandella stevensii. RNAcentral describes it as "partial 16S ribosomal RNA". It matches the Rfam family "Bacterial small subunit ribosomal RNA", at positions 338 to 795 of the family's 1533-position model. Lineage: Bacteria; Pseudomonadati; Pseudomonadota; Gammaproteobacteria; Oceanospirillales; Halomonadaceae. The record is from RNAcentral.
CCUACGGGCGGCUGCAGUGGGGAAUAUUGGACAAUGGGGGCAACCCUGAUCCAGCCAUGCCGCGUGUGUGAAGAAGGCCCUCGGGUUGUAAAGCACUUUCAGUGAGGAAGAACGCCUGGUGGUUAAUACCCAUCAGGAAAGACAUCACUCACAGAAGAAGCACCGGCUAACUCCGUGCCAGCAGCCGCGGUAAUACGGAGGGUGCGAGCGUUAAUCGGAAUUACUGGGCGUAAAGCGCGCGUAGGUGGCUUGAUAAGCCGGUUGUGAAAGCCCCGGGCUCAACCUGGGAACGGCAUCCGGAACUGGCAAGCUAGAGUGCAGGAGAGGGAGGUAGAAUUCCCGGUGUAGCGGUGAAAUGCGUAGAGAUCGGGAGGAAUACCAGUGGCGAAGGCGGCCUUCUGGACUGACACUGACACUGAGGUGCGAAAGCGUGGGUAGCAAACAGGAUUAGAUACCCCAGUAGUC